This 311-nucleotide long non-coding RNA is filed under the name Solanum tuberosum (potato). RNAcentral's name for it is "long non-coding RNA (STUB_LNC000871)". The record is from RNAcentral. Lineage: Eukaryota; Viridiplantae; Streptophyta; Magnoliopsida; Solanales; Solanaceae.
CUAAUAGCAUUUUUUUUUUAUCAUUCAUAUCAUGUUUGUUGAUUAUAAGCUUCACAUAUUACAAAAAUAUCAUUGAGUUCCAAAGGUGUAGAUCACAAUACCUAUCCAUUUAGUAAAAUAUUCAACUUGGCCAAUAACUAAAUAGUUUAAUCCUAAUCAACAUAAUAAAAUGUAUUACCUGUAUUAACAAGAGGAGUAGGGUUAUUUAAUUCAUCCAGUGAUUGAGUAUCUUGAAUAGUUUCCCUUGUAAGUGUAGUUUGCUUAAAGACACGUCCACCUGGUGCCAUUGAUUGGCAGAACACUAUCAAAAC